RNAcentral lists this ribosomal RNA (479 nucleotides) under uncultured bacterium. RNAcentral describes it as "partial 16S ribosomal RNA". It matches the Rfam family "Bacterial small subunit ribosomal RNA", at positions 28 to 507 of the family's 1533-position model. The record is from RNAcentral.
GAUGAACGCUAGCGGGAGGCCUAACACAUGCAAGCCGAGCGGUAGAGUUUCUUCGGAAACUUGAGAGCGGCGCACGGGUGCGUAACACGUGUGCAACCUACCUUUAUCUGGGGGAUAGCCUUUCGAAAGGAAGAUUAAUACCCCAUAAUAUAAUGAUUGGCAUCAAUUAUUAUUGAAAACUCCGGUGGAUAGAGAUGGGCACGCGCAAGAUUAGAUAGUUGGUGAGGUAACGGCUCACCAAGUCAAUGAUCUUUAGGGGUCCUGAGAGGGAGAUCCCCCACACUGGUACUGAGACACGGACCAGACUCCUACGGGAGGCAGCAGUGAGGAAUAUUGAACAAUGGGUGAGAGCCUGAUCCAGCCAUCCCGCGUGAAGGAUGACGGUCCUAUGGAUGGUAAACUUCUUUUGUACAGGGAUAAACCUACCCUCGUGAGGGUAGCUGAAGGUACUGUACGAAUAAGCACCGGCUAACUCCGUG